Molecule: small RNA, 425 nt
Filed under: Drosophila pseudoobscura pseudoobscura
Lineage: Eukaryota; Metazoa; Arthropoda; Insecta; Diptera; Drosophilidae
Description: GA32598
Source: RNAcentral
CGCACCGUGGAACUGAUGCCCCUGCAAGUUGAUAGAAAUGCAAAUGCAAAAAGAGAGAAAAGAUAAGAGGCUUUCUUCACCAUCUUAUCGCCGCCCCUUGUAAUUGCCCUUGUGUUUCGCAACACCUAUUUGCUUAGUCUCCGCCUGCGUGUAACUUCAAGUUCAAUCCAAGGGUGUUUCGGCCCCUGCAGUCGCUGCCCAUUGAUGAAAUUUAUUGUGGAGGCAGAAGACAGGCGCCGUCAGCCCAUUCCAUACUUCACACUGUCACACUCUCGGCUCUGGUAGAAGACGAAGCAGAAUCAGCAGAAGCGGUACUCCUCACACACCCAGGCAUGAGUCAUGGACCUAAUUAACCGGAGCUAUAUGUAAACAGGGCUUGCACUUCUGCAAGCUUAGCAUUAACCAAAUAAACAAAAGCCACAGUG